GGGAUUGUCGAUUAACUGGCAAAUCAGUCGCUUUGCAUGCGACAGCUAUCGGUUCGAUUCCGAUCGAUUCCA
RNAcentral lists this transfer RNA (72 nucleotides) under Lodderomyces elongisporus. RNAcentral's name for it is "tRNA-Ala". It matches the Rfam family "tRNA". From Rfam's summary of the family: Transfer RNA (tRNA) molecules are approximately 80 nucleotides in length. Their secondary structure includes four short double-helical elements and three loops (D, anti-codon, and T loops). RNAcentral also lists the same sequence under 1 other name. Lineage: Eukaryota; Fungi; Ascomycota; Pichiomycetes; Serinales; Debaryomycetaceae. The record is from RNAcentral.